This 1550-nucleotide ribosomal RNA is filed under the name Pectobacterium brasiliense. RNAcentral describes it as "bacterial SSU rRNA". It matches the Rfam family "Bacterial small subunit ribosomal RNA". The record is from RNAcentral. Lineage: Bacteria; Pseudomonadati; Pseudomonadota; Gammaproteobacteria; Enterobacterales; Pectobacteriaceae.
AAAUUGAAGAGUUUGAUCAUGGCUCAGAUUGAACGCUGGCGGCAGGCCUAACACAUGCAAGUCGAGCGGUAGCACAGAAGAGCUUGCUCUUUGGGUGACGAGCGGCGGACGGGUGAGUAAUGUCUGGGAAACUGCCUGAUGGAGGGGGAUAACUACUGGAAACGGUAGCUAAUACCGCAUAACCUCGCAAGAGCAAAGAGGGGGACCUUCGGGCCUCUCGCCAUCAGAUGUGCCCAGAUGGGAUUAGCUAGUAGGUGAGGUAAUGGCUCACCUAGGCGACGAUCCCUAGCUGGUCUGAGAGGAUGACCAGCCACACUGGAACUGAGACACGGUCCAGACUCCUACGGGAGGCAGCAGUGGGGAAUAUUGCACAAUGGGCGCAAGCCUGAUGCAGCCAUGCCGCGUGUGUGAAGAAGGCCUUCGGGUUGUAAAGCACUUUCAGCGGGGAGGAAGGCAGUAAGGUUAAUAACCUUGCUGAUUGACGUUACCCGCAGAAGAAGCACCGGCUAACUCCGUGCCAGCAGCCGCGGUAAUACGGAGGGUGCAAGCGUUAAUCGGAAUGACUGGGCGUAAAGCGCACGCAGGCGGUCUGUUAAGUUGGAUGUGAAAUCCCCGGGCUUAACCUGGGAACUGCAUUCAAAACUGACAGGCUAGAGUCUUGUAGAGGGGGGUAGAAUUCCAGGUGUAGCGGUGAAAUGCGUAGAGAUCUGGAGGAAUACCGGUGGCGAAGGCGGCCCCCUGGACAAAGACUGACGCUCAGGUGCGAAAGCGUGGGGAGCAAACAGGAUUAGAUACCCUGGUAGUCCACGCUGUAAACGAUGUCGAUUUGGAGGUUGUGCCCUUGAGGCGUGGCUUCCGGAGCUAACGCGUUAAAUCGACCGCCUGGGGAGUACGGCCGCAAGGUUAAAACUCAAAUGAAUUGACGGGGGCCCGCACAAGCGGUGGAGCAUGUGGUUUAAUUCGAUGCAACGCGAAGAACCUUACCUACUCUUGACAUCCAGAGAAUUUGCUAGAGAUAGCUUAGUGCCUUCGGGAACUCUGAGACAGGUGCUGCAUGGCUGUCGUCAGCUCGUGUUGUGAAAUGUUGGGUUAAGUCCCGCAACGAGCGCAACCCUUAUCCUUUGUUGCCAGCGAUUCGGUCGGGAACUCAAAGGAGACUGCCGGUGAUAAACCGGAGGAAGGUGGGGAUGACGUCAAGUCAUCAUGGCCCUUACGAGUAGGGCUACACACGUGCUACAAUGGCGUAUACAAAGAGAAGCGACCUCGCGAGAGCAAGCGGACCUCAUAAAGUACGUCGUAGUCCGGAUUGGAGUCUGCAACUCGACUCCAUGAAGUCGGAAUCGCUAGUAAUCGUAGAUCAGAAUGCUACGGUGAAUACGUUCCCGGGCCUUGUACACACCGCCCGUCACACCAUGGGAGUGGGUUGCAAAAGAAGUAGGUAGCUUAACCUUCGGGAGGGCGCUUACCACUUUGUGAUUCAUGACUGGGGUGAAGUCGUAACAAGGUAACCGUAGGGGAACCUGCGGUUGGAUCACCUCCUUACCAAGAAG